RNAcentral lists this ribosomal RNA (316 nucleotides) under Luminiphilus sp. Its description in RNAcentral is "partial 23S ribosomal RNA". It matches the Rfam family "Bacterial large subunit ribosomal RNA", at positions 2615 to 2925 of the family's 2925-position model. Lineage: Bacteria; Pseudomonadati; Pseudomonadota; Gammaproteobacteria; Cellvibrionales; Halieaceae. The record is from RNAcentral.
AACGUCGUGAGACAGUUCGGUCCCUAUCUGCCGUGGGCGUUGGAGAAUUGAGGGAAGCUGCUCCUAGUACGAGAGGACCGGAGUGGACGAACCUCUGGUGUUCCGGUUGUGACGCCAGUCGCAUUGCCGGGUAGCUACGUUCGGAAAGGAUAACCGCUGAAAGCAUCUAAGCGGGAAGCCCCUCCCAAGACUAGUUCUCCCCGACCCCUUGAGGGUCCUGAAGAGCCGUCCAAGACUAGGACGUUGAUAGGCUGGGUGUGGAAGCGCUGUGAGGCGUUGAGCUAACCAGUACUAAUUGCUCGUGCGGCUUGACCAU